GCCGGGGUGGUGGAACUGGUAGACGCGCUGGAUUCAAAAUCCAGUUCCCGAAAGGGAGUGCGAGUUCGAUUCUCGCUCCCGGCACCA
RNAcentral lists this transfer RNA (87 nucleotides) under Chromatiales bacterium. RNAcentral describes it as "tRNA-Leu". It matches the Rfam family "tRNA". From Rfam's summary of the family: Transfer RNA (tRNA) molecules are approximately 80 nucleotides in length. Their secondary structure includes four short double-helical elements and three loops (D, anti-codon, and T loops). Further hydrogen bonds mediate the characteristic L-shaped molecular structure. tRNAs have two regions of fundamental functional importance: the anti-codon, which is responsible for specific mRNA codon recognition, and the 3' end, to which the tRNAs corresponding amino acid is attached (by aminoacyl-tRNA synthetases). tRNAs cope with the degeneracy of the genetic code in two manners: having more than one tRNA (with a specific anti-codon) for a particular amino acid; and 'wobble' base-pairing, i.e. permitting non-standard base-pairing at the 3rd anti-codon position. The record is from RNAcentral. Lineage: Bacteria; Pseudomonadati; Pseudomonadota; Gammaproteobacteria; Chromatiales.